AAGACAAGCCACUCCAGAAGGCAGUGGCUCCUGGCUACCAUAGAGCACAACUGGAUGUGGAGGGAAUCCAGAAGGCUGUCUUAGAUUAGGCUUAAUUUUUAGAGAUCUGCAUUUGGCUAUGAUGGAUCCCAUCCUUGUUCCCAGAAAUAUAAUUACAGGCUGUGGAUCUCAGCCACAGAUCUGAAAAUAAUGUCUCCGUAUGCUGCUUCAACAAGCCUCAAGUAGAAAAGUCCCGGGAAGUCCAUUUUGGCUGAGGAUGCUGCUGUCCCUGAAGAUUCCUGAAUCUGCCAGGAAAAGAAUCACAAAUUCCUUGAGGCUGGAAGGGACAUCUGGAGAUCAUUUAGUCCUCCUGUAGCAGUAUGCAACAACUCUGUGAAAGUAACAGAAACAGUUAAAUAAAACAAUCAAUCAUAUUUUUCUUGAAAUUAUUUAUCUUCAGGUUCAUGUUCAAUAAAAUAAAAUUGAAAUCUAA
Molecule: non-coding RNA, 472 nt
Organism: Taeniopygia guttata (zebra finch)
Lineage: Eukaryota; Metazoa; Chordata; Aves; Passeriformes; Estrildidae
Source: RefSeq, a predicted model, not a curated record